UUGACACAAGACUAGGCAGUACAAGG
RNAcentral lists this non-coding RNA (26 nucleotides) under Mus musculus (house mouse). Lineage: Eukaryota; Metazoa; Chordata; Mammalia; Rodentia; Muridae. RNAcentral also lists the same sequence under 1 other name. The record is from RNAcentral.